RNAcentral lists this ribosomal RNA (813 nucleotides) under uncultured bacterium. RNAcentral's name for it is "bacterial SSU rRNA". It matches the Rfam family "Bacterial small subunit ribosomal RNA", at positions 9 to 808 of the family's 1533-position model. The record is from RNAcentral.
GAGUUUGAUCAUGGCUCAGGAUGAACGCUAGCGGCAGGCCUAACACAUGCAAGUCGAGGGGUAACAUAGAAAAGCUUGCUUUUCUGAUGACGACCGGCGAACGGGUGCGUAACGCGUAUACAAUCUGCCUUCAAGCGGGGGAUAGCCCAUGGAAACGUGGAUUAAUAUCCCAUAGCAUAUAGAUAUCACCUGGUAUUUAUAUUAAACAUUUAUGGCUUGAAGAUGAGUAUGCGUCCUAUUAGCUUGAUGGUGUGGUAACGGCGCACCAUGGCUACGAUAGGUAGGGGUCCUGAGAGGGAGAUCCCCCACACUGGUACUGAGACACGGACCAGACUCCUACGGGAGGCAGCAGUGAGGAAUAUUGGACAAUGGGCGAGAGCCUGAUCCAGCCAUGCCGCGUGCAGGAAGACUGCCCUAUGGGUUGUAAACUGCUUUUACAGAGGAAGAAACCUCCCCACGUGUGGGGAGCUGACGGUACUCUGCGAAUAAGGAUCGGCUAACUCCGUGCCAGCAGCCGCGGUAAUACGGAGGAUCCAAGCGUUAUCCGGAAUCAUUGGGUUUAAAGGGUCCGUAGGCGGGAUAAUAAGUCAGUGGUGAAAGUCUUCCGCUCAACGGGAGAACUGCCAUUGAUACUGUUGUUCUUGAAUUAGUAUGAAGUGGUUUGGAAUGAGUAGUGUAGCGGUGAAAUGCAUAGAUAUUACUCAGAACACCUAUUGCGAAGGCAGAUCACUAAUACUCAAUUUGACGCUGAGGGACGAAAGCGUAGGUAGCGAACAGGAUUAGAUACCCUGGUUAGUUCUACCGCCUUGUAAC